Molecule: long non-coding RNA, 254 nt
Filed under: Lathyrus oleraceus (garden pea)
Lineage: Eukaryota; Viridiplantae; Streptophyta; Magnoliopsida; Fabales; Fabaceae
Description: Pisum sativum (pea) long non-coding RNA (PSAT_LNC025811)
Source: RNAcentral
UGUCAAGUUACUUCUCCUUUGGUAUUCAACUUCACCUUGUAUACCCACUUCACGUCGAUUUCCUUCUUACCUUGAGAUAAUUCGACAAAUGAUCAAGUGUUGUUAACUUCGAUGGACUUGAUUUCCCCAUUCAUUACUUUCAUCCACUUUGAAUCCUUCAAUGUCACAAUUGCAUUGACUGGUUCAACAUCUGCAUAGAAAUUAUAAUGUAUCAACUCACCUUUAUCAUUGACCACAUCAUUUGGUGUAAUCAC